RNAcentral lists this transfer RNA (64 nucleotides) under Ictidomys tridecemlineatus (thirteen-lined ground squirrel). Its description in RNAcentral is "Spermophilus tridecemlineatus (thirteen-lined ground squirrel) tRNA". It matches the Rfam family "tRNA", at positions 5 to 66 of the family's 71-position model. Rfam says of the family: Transfer RNA (tRNA) molecules are approximately 80 nucleotides in length. The record is from Rfam by way of RNAcentral. Lineage: Eukaryota; Metazoa; Chordata; Mammalia; Rodentia; Sciuridae.
AUAUAGCUCAGUUGGUAGAGUGCUUGCCUCGCAUGCACAAGGUCCUGGGUUCAAUCCCCAGCAU